Mycena galericulata is the source of this 97-nucleotide non-coding RNA. NCBI's taxonomy places the organism in Eukaryota, Fungi, Basidiomycota, Agaricomycetes, Agaricales, Mycenaceae. The record is from the annotation of a GenBank genome assembly.
GGCCUGGUGGUGUACUGCAACACAUCCUCUAGAGGUGCGGCACUCAGCAUUCCAAACAGUUUCGAGGAAGUCCCCCGUUCGACCCGGGGCCAGGCCA